ACUUAAAUAAUAUAAUAAUUAUAUUAGGCUUCCAACCAAAAAAUCUAGAACUCCCCUAGUUUAAGUA
This 67-nucleotide transfer RNA is filed under the name Gnathotrichus materiarius. Its description in RNAcentral is "tRNA-Gly". Lineage: Eukaryota; Metazoa; Arthropoda; Insecta; Coleoptera; Curculionidae. The record is from RNAcentral.